This 495-nucleotide ribosomal RNA is filed under the name uncultured bacterium. RNAcentral's name for it is "partial 16S ribosomal RNA". It matches the Rfam family "Bacterial small subunit ribosomal RNA", at positions 28 to 507 of the family's 1533-position model. The record is from RNAcentral.
GACGAACGCUGGCGGCGUGCCUAAUACAUGCAAGUAGAACGCUGAAGGAGGAGCUUGCUUCUCUGGAUGAGUUGCGAACGGGUGAGUAACGCGUAGGUAACCUGCCUGGUAGCGGGGGAUAACUAUUGGAAACGAUAGCUAAUACCGCAUAAUAGCAGUUGUUGCAUGACAACUGUUUGAAAGGUGCAAUUGCACCACUACCAGAUGGACCUGCGUUGUAUUAGCUAGUUGGUGGGGUAACGGCUCACCAAGGCGACGAUACAUAGCCGACCUGAGAGGGUGAUCGGCCAAACUGGGACUGAGACACGGCCCAGACUCCUACGGGAGGCAGCAGUAGGGAAUCUUCGGCAAUGGACGGAAGUCUGACCGAGCAACGCCGCGUGAGUGAAGAAGGUUUUCGGAUCGUAAAGCUCUGUUGUAAGAGAAGAACGAGUGUGAGAGUGGAAAGUUCACACUGUGACGGUAGCUUACCAGAAAGGGACGGCUAACUACGUG